Long non-coding RNA from Dendrobium catenatum, 293 nucleotides. RefSeq lists it as uncharacterized. Lineage: Eukaryota; Viridiplantae; Streptophyta; Magnoliopsida; Asparagales; Orchidaceae. The record is from RefSeq and is a predicted model, not a curated record. The transcript has 3 exons.
GCAAGGCCUGUUGAACAUGACAUUAUUGAAACCAAAUUGUUUCGUUCAACUUAAUUGAGUGAUUCAAUUAGCAUUAAAGAUUGAAAGAUAAAGAGAUCACUAUUCUUUUUGGCUUAAGCAAUUCUUUCUGACUAUGCUGUAAACUUCUAUGCAGAGUGGGAGAAGACAUUGCAAAUUAUUGGUAUUGUCGGUCUGGGACAGACUCUGUAUCGACGUCUUGCUUCAUACAAAGAUUCUGAUGAUCUAAAACGAGAUGUGAGGCUGCUGCUAGCUCCAGUUACACUCGGAGUGGC